CUUUCCAGACCUUGCGUUGCCGAUUAGGGGACUCCGGCGGCUCCGCGGCCCUCUUUUUUCCAGGCGGCCGGGAAGAUGGCGGACAUUCAGACAGAACGUGCCUACCAAAAGCAGCCGACCAUCUUCCAAAACAAGAAGAGGGUCCUCUUGGGGGAAACUGGCAAGGAGAAGC
Long non-coding RNA from Echinops telfairi (small Madagascar hedgehog), 172 nucleotides. RefSeq lists it as uncharacterized. The transcript is spliced from 2 exons. The record is from RefSeq and is a predicted model, not a curated record. NCBI's taxonomy places the organism in Eukaryota, Metazoa, Chordata, Mammalia, Afrosoricida, Tenrecidae.